Non-coding RNA from Arthrobotrys megalospora, 149 nucleotides. The record is from the annotation of a GenBank genome assembly. Lineage: Eukaryota; Fungi; Ascomycota; Orbiliomycetes; Orbiliales; Orbiliaceae.
GGCUUCAUGGUCUAGUGGUAUGAUUCUCGCUGAAAGUACCCCCAUUCAAAAUAAUUAUUUGUACGAACAUCAAACUAAUACCUUCCACAGUUGGGUCGCAGUUUCUGCAAUCUUGCGAGAGGCCCCGCGUUCGAAUCGCGGUGGAGCCC